AGGGAUGUAGCGCAGCUUGGUAGCGCAUUUUUUUUUUGUCAAAAAUGUCACGGGUUCAAAUCCUUUCCUUUCAUCCCUA
Molecule: transfer RNA, 79 nt
Filed under: Butomus umbellatus (flowering-rush)
Lineage: Eukaryota; Viridiplantae; Streptophyta; Magnoliopsida; Alismatales; Butomaceae
Description: tRNA-Lys
Rfam family: tRNA
About the family: Transfer RNA (tRNA) molecules are approximately 80 nucleotides in length. Their secondary structure includes four short double-helical elements and three loops (D, anti-codon, and T loops).
Source: RNAcentral